This 582-nucleotide long non-coding RNA is filed under the name Olea europaea subsp. europaea. The record is from RNAcentral. Lineage: Eukaryota; Viridiplantae; Streptophyta; Magnoliopsida; Lamiales; Oleaceae.
AUUAUGAAUAAAUUUAAAUAGAGAAUGACUUCAUAAGUACUGAUUAAUUUUCUUUUGAUUCAACUAUUUUCUGCAAGGCACAUUUUGGAAUCACAUAAGUUCACAUCCUCCUAUUCAAUCCAACAGACAAAGGGAUAGUUCUAGCAUACAUAAAUCCAGCUGAUAAAGGCGCAUCAGAGGUAAAAUGCCCAAAGUUUGUCAUUAUUCUUAUGCUUAUGUCAUAAACUUCUUGUUGAUAAAUGUUCUCUAGCCACACAAAAGACGGUUGACGGUCCCAUUGACCCAAACUGAAUACAUCCUCCUCUACGUAAUAAAUCAAGUACUCAAACUUCAUUGUCUCUCAGAAGAAAAUAAUGUUUUUACUCAAUAGAUUACUUUGAACAAUUGUAAAAGAGCUCAUAUGUGUUUAAUAGGCUAUAAAAAUGUAUUUUUAACAAAUUUUGCUUCCUGUAAAAGUUUUACUGAGACACUUUGAAGAGCUGGAGUUCAAGCUGAAUCAGUUUUAUAUGAAGGCAACACCUACACAAGUGUUCCUUCAGGUACCUGGUUGUUCCAUAUGCGUUUGUUAUUCCCUUUGUGUCU